CACUGAUCCCUAGUAGCGGCGAGCGAAGCGGGAAGAGCUCAAAUUUAUAAUCUGGCACCUUCGGUGUCCGAGUUGUAAUCUCUAGAAAUGUUUUCCGCGUUGGACCGCACACAAGUCUGUUGGAAUACAGCGGCAUAGUGGUGAGACCCCCGUAUAUGGUGCGGACGCCCAGCGCUUUGUGAUACAUUUUCGAAGAGUCGAGUUGUUUGGGAAUGCAGCUCAAAUUGGGUGGUAAAUUCCAUCUAAAGCUAAAUAUUGGCGAGAGACCGAUAGCGAACAAGUACCGUGAGGGAAAGAUGAAAAGCACUUUGGAAAGAGAGUUAACAGUACGUGAAAUUGUUGGAAGGGAAACGCUUGAAGUCAGACUUGCUUGCCGAGCAAUCGGUUUGCAGGCCAGCAUCAGUUUUCCGGGAUGGAUAAUGGUAGAGAGAAGGUAGCAGUUUCGGCUGUGUUAUAGCUCUCUGCUGGAUACAUCUUGGGGGACUGAGGAACGCAGUGUGCCUUUGGCGGGGGUUUCGACCUCUUCACACUUAGGAUGCUGGUGGAAUGGCUUUAAACGACCCGUCUUGAAA
RNAcentral lists this ribosomal RNA (572 nucleotides) under Rhodotorula mucilaginosa. RNAcentral describes it as "eukaryotic LSU rRNA". It matches the Rfam family "Eukaryotic large subunit ribosomal RNA", at positions 69 to 659 of the family's 3401-position model. The record is from RNAcentral. Lineage: Eukaryota; Fungi; Basidiomycota; Microbotryomycetes; Sporidiobolales; Sporidiobolaceae.